AACGUACGCUGGCGGCACGCCUAACACAUGCAAGUCGAACGAAGUAGCAAUACUUAGUGGCAGACGGGUGAGUAACAUGUAGGUAUCUGCCCUUUGGCCUGGAAUAACACGAGGAAACUUGUGCUAAUACCGGAUAAGUCUUUACGGAGAAAGCUUUAUGCACCAUUGGAUGAGCCUGCACUUGAUUAGUUUGUUGGUGGGGUAAUGGCCUACCAAGACUGUGAUCAAUAGCUGAUUUGAGAGGAUGAUCAGCCACAUUGGGACUGAGACACGGCCCAAACUCCUACGGGAGGCAGCAGUGGGGAAUCUUGCACAAUGGAGGAAACUCUGAUGCAGCGAUGCCGCGUGAGUGAAGAAGGCCCUUGGGUUGUAAAGCUCUUUCGUCGGGGAAGAAAAUGACUGUACCCGAAUAAGAAGGUCCGGCUAACUUCGUGCCAGCAGCCGCGGUAAUACGAAGGGACCUAGCGUAGUUCGGAAUUACUGGGCUUAAAGAGUUCGUAGGUGGUUGAAAAAGUUAGUGGUGAAAUCCCAGAGCUUAACUCUGGAACUGCCAUUAAAACUUUUCAGCUAGAGUAUGAUAGAGGAAAGCAGAAUUUCUAGUGUAGAGGUGAAAUUCGUAGAUAUUAGAAAGAAUACCAAUUGCGAAGGCAGCUUUCUGGAUCAUUACUGACACUGAGGAACGAAAGCAUGGGUAGCGAAGAGGAUUAGAUACCCUCGUAGUCCAUGCCGUAAACGAUGUGUGUUAGACGUUGGAAAUUUAUUUUCAGUGUCGCAGGGAAACCGAUAAACACACCGCCUGGGGAGUACGACCGCAAGGUUAAAACUCAAAUGAAUUGACGGGGACCCGCACAAGUAGUGGAGCAUGUGGUUUAAUUCGAAGAUACGCGCAGAACCUUACCAACACUUGACAUGUUCGUCGCGACUCUAAGAGAUUAGAGUUUUCGGUUCGGCCGGACGAAACACAGGUGCUGCAUGGCUGUCGUCAGCUCGUGUCGUGAGAUGUUGGGUUAAGUCCCGCAACGAGCGCAACCCUCACUUUUAGUUGCCAUCAUUAAGUUGGGCACUCUGAAAGAACUGCCAGUGAUAAGCUGGAGGAAGGUGGGGAUGACGUCAAGUCCUCAUGGCCCUUACGUGCUGGGCUACACACGUGCUACAAUGGUAUCUACAACAGGAAGCAAGACUGCGAAGUUAAGCAAAUCCCUAAAAGAUACCUCAGUUCGGAUUGCACUCUGCAACUCGAGUGCAUGAAGCUGGAAUUACUAGUAAUCGUGGAUCAGCGUGCCACGGUGAAUGCGUUCCCGGGUCU
RNAcentral lists this ribosomal RNA (1306 nucleotides) under uncultured bacterium. RNAcentral's name for it is "bacterial SSU rRNA". It matches the Rfam family "Bacterial small subunit ribosomal RNA", at positions 28 to 1381 of the family's 1533-position model. The record is from RNAcentral.